RNAcentral lists this non-coding RNA (30 nucleotides) under Rattus norvegicus (Norway rat). The record is from RNAcentral. Lineage: Eukaryota; Metazoa; Chordata; Mammalia; Rodentia; Muridae.
UGGAAGCAAAGGAAGCCACUCUGAGCCUAU